This 1163-nucleotide ribosomal RNA is filed under the name Salmonella enterica subsp. enterica serovar Enteritidis. RNAcentral's name for it is "partial 23S ribosomal RNA". It matches the Rfam family "Bacterial large subunit ribosomal RNA", at positions 1 to 1204 of the family's 2925-position model. Lineage: Bacteria; Pseudomonadati; Pseudomonadota; Gammaproteobacteria; Enterobacterales; Enterobacteriaceae. The record is from RNAcentral.
GAGGUUAAGCGACUAAGCGUACACGGUGGAUGCCCUGGCAGUCAGAGGCGAUGAAGGGCGUACUAAUCUGCGAUAAGCGCCGGUAAGGUGAUAUGAACCGUUAUAACCGGCGAUACCCGAAUGGGGAAACCCAGUGUGAUUCGUCACACUAUCAUUAACUGAAUCCAUAGGUUAAUGAGGCGAACCGGGGGAACUGAAACAUCUAAGUACCCCGAGGAAAAGAAAUCAACCGAGAUUCCCCCAGUAGCGGCGAGCGAACGGGGAGGAGCCCAGAGCCUGAAUCAGCAUGUGUGUUAGUGGAAGCGUCUGGAAAGGCGCGCGAUACAGGGUGACAGCCCCGUACACAAAAGCGCAUGUGCUGUGAGCUCGAUGAGUAGGGCGGGACACGUGGUAUCCUGUCUGAAUAUGGGGGGACCAUCCUCCAAGGCUAAAUACUCCUGACUGACCGAUAGUGAACCAGUACCGUGAGGGAAAGGCGAAAAGAACCCCGGCGAGGGGAGUGAAAAAGAACCUGAAACCGUGUACGUACAAGCAGUGGGAGCACCCUUUGGGUGUGACUGCGUACCUUUUGUAUAAUGGGUCAGCGACUUAUAUUCUGUAGCAAGGUUAACCGAAUAGGGGAGCCGGAGGGAAACCGAGUCUUAACCGGGCGUUAAGUUGCAGGGUAUAGACCCGAAACCCGGUGAUCUAGCCAUGGGCAGGUUGAAGGUUGGGUAACACUAACUGGAGGACCGAACCGACUAAUGUUGAAAAAUUAGCGGAUGACCUGUGGCUGGGGGUGAAAGGCCAAUCAAACCGGGAGAUAGCUGGUUCUCCCCGAAAGCUAUUUAGGUAGCGCCUCGUGAAUUCAUCUCCGGGGGUAGAGCACUGUUUCGGCUAGGGGGCCAUCCCGGCUUACCAACCCGAUGCAAACUGCGAAUACCGGAGAAUGUUAUCACGGGAGACACACGGCGGGUGCUAACGUCCGUCGUGAAGAGGGAAACAACCCAGACCGCCAGCUAAGGUCCCAAAGUCAUGGUUAAGUGGGAAACGAUGUGGGAAGGCCCAGACAGCCAGGAUGUUGGCUUAGAAGCAGCCAUCAUUUAAAGAAAGCGUAAUAGCUCACUGGUCGAGUCGGCCUGCGCGGAAGAUGUAACGGGGCUAAACCAUGCACCGAAGCUGCG